CCUACAUUCAUGAUGAAGUAUUUUUCGGAUGUAAAGUGCCCUUCGGGGACAGUGUCCGAGAGCGCAAAAACGUGUGGACACUUCCGUUGCCUUCCUUCUGAUCUGUCGAAU
This 111-nucleotide small nucleolar RNA is filed under the name Kwoniella heveanensis BCC8398. RNAcentral's name for it is "Small nucleolar RNA Z13/snr52". It matches the Rfam family "Small nucleolar RNA Z13/snr52". Rfam says of the family: Z13 or snr52 is a member of the C/D class of snoRNA which contain the C (UGAUGA) and D (CUGA) box motifs. Lineage: Eukaryota; Fungi; Basidiomycota; Tremellomycetes; Tremellales; Cryptococcaceae. The record is from Rfam by way of RNAcentral.